Molecule: ribosomal RNA, 253 nt
Filed under: uncultured bacterium
Lineage: Bacteria
Description: partial 16S ribosomal RNA
Rfam family: Bacterial small subunit ribosomal RNA
Source: RNAcentral
UACGUAGGGGGCUAGCGUUGUCCGGAAUCAUUGGGCGUAAAGAGCGUGUAGGCGGCCCGGUAAGUCCGCUGUGAAAGUCGGGGGCUCAACCCUCGAAUGCCGGUGGAUACUGUCGGGCUAGAGUGCGGAAGAGGAGAGUGGAAUUCCUGGUGUAGCGGUGAAAUGCGCAGAUAUCAGGAAGAACACCCGUGGCGAAGGCGGCUCCCUGGGACGGUACUGACGCUGAGACGCGAAAGCGUGGGGAGCGAACAGG